This is a long non-coding RNA of Apis florea (little honeybee), 629 nucleotides long. Lineage: Eukaryota; Metazoa; Arthropoda; Insecta; Hymenoptera; Apidae. The record is from RefSeq and is a predicted model, not a curated record.
CGAUAUACAUCUCCUGAUCACAGUCUUGAUCGCUACCCGAUAACCUCUCCAGGCUUCGCAUUAUCCCGAGGAAAGAAACGCGUUGGACCCCCUGGAAUCGCACACGGUUGCAAUAUUAAUCUUCGUCGAUCGGUUGAAAAAUAUAAUGUAAAGUGUCUCAAGAGAAAAAAAUCAAUAAUCUUGUCGUGCAAUCUCAUCGUUAAUUAUCGAACGGGACAAUUGAGAAACAUUGGCACGAGAAACGUGCGCUAAACGAGAUAAUCGAAGUGGGAUAUCCCGUUUUCCCUGGCUACGCUUGAUUCAAUGCCAAGAAUUCUUCGCACACAAUUACGCUCUCUGUGCUUUACGAUCUGCGAUUAAGUAAUUGUAUAUAUCACUGUGGCGACGUACGUAAGUACACGAGUAACUAUAGGUCGAGCAUUAUCGAAGAAAUGAUAUAAAUAUACAAUCGAUAAACUCUUGUGGUUUUUUAAUAUUCAUUUACGUCUUAUUUAUUUGUUUAUUUAUUUAUUUAUUUAUUUUUUUUCGUAACAAAGAAAUAAUAAAAUAAUAGGAAAACGAUCGGAAACACAUGUUAUUGAAUUAAAGAGAUAAAUAUGCUUUCUUCAACUACCAUAAUAUCACCUCAA